RNAcentral lists this ribosomal RNA (292 nucleotides) under uncultured bacterium. RNAcentral describes it as "partial 16S ribosomal RNA". It matches the Rfam family "Bacterial small subunit ribosomal RNA", at positions 505 to 796 of the family's 1533-position model. The record is from RNAcentral.
GUGCCAGCAGCCGCGGUAAUACGGGGGGGGCUAGCGUUGUUCGGAAUUACUGGGCGUAAAGGGCGCGUAGGCGGCCACCUCAGUCGAACGUGAAAUCCCUCGGCUCAACCGGGGAACUGCGUCCGAUACUGGGUGGCUGGAAUCCGGGAGAGGGAUGCGGAAUUCCAGGUGUAGCGGUGAAAUGCGUAGAUAUCUGGAGGAACACCGGUGGCGAAGGCGGCAUCCUGGACCGGUAUUGACGCUGAGGCGCGAAAGCCAGGGGAGCAAACGGGAUUAGAUACCCUGGUAGUCC